This 558-nucleotide ribosomal RNA is filed under the name uncultured bacterium. RNAcentral describes it as "partial 16S ribosomal RNA". It matches the Rfam family "Bacterial small subunit ribosomal RNA", at positions 355 to 902 of the family's 1533-position model. The record is from RNAcentral.
UGGGGAAUUUUGGACAAUGGGCGCAAGCCUGAUCCAGCCAUGCCGCGUGCGGGAAGAAGGCCUUCGGGUUGUAAACCGCUUUUGUCAGGGAAGAAAUCUUCUGAGUUAAUACCUCGGGAGGAUGACGGUACCUGAAGAAUAAGCACCGGCUAACUACGUGCCAGCAGCCGCGGCAAUACGUAGGGUGCAAGCGUUAAUCGGAAUUACUGGGCGUAAAGCGUGCGCAGGCGGUUUUGUAAGACAGAGGUGAAAUCCCCGGGCUCAACCUGGGAACUGCCUUUGUGACUGCAAGGCUUGAGUGCGGCAGAGGGGGGAUGGAAUUCCGCGUGUAGCAGUGAAAUGCGUAGAUAUGCGGAGGAACACCGAUGGCGAAGGCAAUCCCCUGGGCCUGCACUGACGCUCAUGCACGAAAGCGUGGGGAGCAAAACAGGAUUAGAUACCCUGGUAGUCCACGCCCUAAACGAUGUCAACUGGUUGUUGGGAAGGUUCCUUCUCAGUAACGUAGCUAACGCGUGAAGUUGACCGCCUGGGGAGUACGGCCGCAAAGGUUGAAAACUC